This 497-nucleotide ribosomal RNA is filed under the name uncultured bacterium. RNAcentral's name for it is "partial 16S ribosomal RNA". It matches the Rfam family "Bacterial small subunit ribosomal RNA", at positions 28 to 507 of the family's 1533-position model. The record is from RNAcentral.
GAUGAACGCUGGCGGCGUGCCUAAUACAUGCAAGUCGAGCGAACAGACGAGGAGCUUGCUCCUCUGACGUUAGCGGCGGACGGGUGAGUAACACGUGGAUAACCUACCUAUAAGACUGGGAUAACUUCGGGAAACCGGAGCUAAUACCGGAUAAUAUAUUGAACCGCAUGGUUCAAUAGUGAAAGACGGUUUUGCUGUCACUUAUAGAUGGAUCCGCGCCGCAUUAGCUAGUUGGUAAGGUAACGGCUUACCAAGGCAACGAUGCGUAGCCGACCUGAGAGGGUGAUCGGCCACACUGGAACUGGGACACGGUCCAGACUCCUACGGGAGGCAGCAGUAGGGAAUCGUCCGCAGUGGGCGAGAGCAUGACGGAGCAACGCCGCGUGAGUGAUGAAGGUCUUCGGAUCGUAAAACUCUGUUAUUAGGGAAGAACAAAUGUGUAAGUAACUAUGCACGUCUUGACGGUACCUAAUCAGAAAGCCACGGCUAACUACGUG